Molecule: long non-coding RNA, 227 nt
Filed under: Mytilus galloprovincialis (Mediterranean mussel)
Lineage: Eukaryota; Metazoa; Mollusca; Bivalvia; Mytilida; Mytilidae
Source: RNAcentral
GAAAAAAGUGGCAGCAAAAUGUUUAUUUCAUCACACGAGUCGCGAAUUUCCUUAAAACAGCUAUCAUAUUCAUGAUUAUGAACAUUGGGAUGUAUCAGGCAACACUAUCUUCACUUUUAACACAAGUUCAGUUUAUUUUUCACUUUAUGACGGAAAUAAAAUGGCUUAGGGUUGGCGCUCAAAAUAGGGUCAGUCGGGUAACCGUAAACAGACAUAUAUUUUUUGUU